This 468-nucleotide ribosomal RNA is filed under the name uncultured bacterium. Its description in RNAcentral is "partial 16S ribosomal RNA". It matches the Rfam family "Bacterial small subunit ribosomal RNA", at positions 28 to 507 of the family's 1533-position model. The record is from RNAcentral.
GACGAACGCUGGCGGCGUGCUUAACACAUGCAAGUCGAACGGAAAGGCCCUGCUUUUGUGGGGUGCUCGAGUGGCGAACGGGUGAGUAACACGUGAGUAACCUGCCCUUGACUUUGGGAUAACUUCAGGAAACUGGGGCUAAUACCGGAUAGGAGCUCCUGCUGCAUGGUGGGGGUUGGAAAGUUUCGGCGGUUGGGGAUGGACUCGCGGCUUAUCAGCUUGUUGGUGGGGUAGUGGCUUACCAAGGGUUUGACGGGUAGCCGGCCUGAGAGGGUGACCGGCCACAUUGGGACUGAGAUACGGCCCAGAAUCCUACGGGAGGCAGCAGUGGGGAAUAUUGCACAAUGGGCGGAAGCCUGAUGCAGCAACGCCGCGUGCGGGAUGACGGCCUUCGGGUUGUAAACCGCUUUCGCCUGUGACGAAGCGUGAGUGACGGUAAUGGGUAAAGAAGCACCGGCUAACUACGUG